Molecule: ribosomal RNA, 434 nt
Filed under: uncultured Clostridium sp.
Lineage: Bacteria; Bacillati; Bacillota; Clostridia; Eubacteriales; Clostridiaceae
Description: partial 16S ribosomal RNA
Rfam family: Bacterial small subunit ribosomal RNA
Source: RNAcentral
ACGGAAGGCAGCAGUGGGGAAUAUUGCACAAUGGGCGCAAGCCUGAUGCAGCGAUGCCGCGUGAGGGAAGAAGUAUUUCGGUAUGUAAAGCUCUAUCAGCAGGGAAGAAAAUGACGGUACCUGACUAAGAAGCCCCGGCUAACUACGUGCCAGCAGCCGCGGUAAUACGUAGGGGGCAAGCGUUAUCCGGAUUUACUGGGUGUAAAGGGAGUGUAGGCGGCUGCGCAAGUCAGAAGUGAAAGCCCGGGGCUUAACCCCGGGACUGCUUUUGAAACUGCGUAGCUAGAGUGCAGGAGAGGCAAGCGGAAUUCCUAGUGUAGCGGUGAAAUGCGUAGAUAUUAGGAAGAACACCAGUGGCGAAGGUGACUUGCUGGACUGAGACUGACGCUGAGGCUCGAAAGCGUGGGGAGCAAACAGGAUUAGAUACCCUGGUA